GUUGUAUAGUCAAGUAAUUAAGUGCAUGUGGUGGAUGCCUUGGCAGUCAGAGGCGAUGAAAGACGUGAUAGCCUGCGAAAAGCUCCGGGGAGGCGGCAAAUAUCCUUUGAUCCGGAGAUGUCUGAAUGGGGGAACCCACCUACUUUAAGGUAGGUAUUGCAACAUGAAUACAUAGUGUUGCAAGGCGAACGAGGGGAAGUGAAACAUCUCAGUACCCUUAGGAAAAGAAAUCAAUUGAGAUUCCCUCAGUAGCGGCGAGCGAACGGGGAUCAGCCCAUUAAGUUAUGUGUGUUUUAGUGGAACGCUCUGGGAAGUGCGAACGUAGAGGGUGAUAUUCCCGUACACGAAAGGGCACACAUAAUGAUGACGAGUAGGGCGAGGCACGUGAAACCUUGUCUGAAUAUGGGGGGACCAUCCUCCAAGGCUAAAUACUCCUGACUGACCGAUAGUGAACCAGUACCGUGAGGGAAAGGCGAAAAGAACCCCUGUGAGGGGAGUGAAAUAGAUCCUGAAACCGCAUGCAUACAAGCAGUGGGAGCACCUUCGUGGUGUGACUGCGUACCUUUUGUAUAAUGGGUCAGCGACUUAUAUUCAGUAGCGAGGUUAACCGUAUAGGGGAGCCGUAGAGAAAUCGAGUCUUAAUAGGGCGUUUAGUUGCUGGGUAUAGACCCGAAACCAGGCGAUCUAUCCAUGAGCAGGUUGAAGGUUGGGUAACACUAACUGGAGGACCGAACCCACUGUCGUUGAAAAGCCAGGGGAUGACUUGUGGAUAGGGGUGAAAGGCUAAUCAAGCCUGGUGAUAGCUGGUUCUCCCCGAAAGCUAUUUAGGUAGCGCCUCGGACGAAUACCAUAGGGGGUAGAGCACUGUUUCGGCUAGGGGGUCAUCCCGACUUACCAAACCGAUGCAAACUCCGAAUACCUAUGAGUACUAUCCGGGAGACAGACUGCGGGUGCUAACGUCCGUAGUCAAGAGGAAAACAAUCCAGACCGCCAGCUAAGGCCCCAAAAUCAUAGUUAAGUGGGAAACGAUGUGGGAAGGCAUAGACAGCUAGGAGGUUGGCUUAGAAGCAGCCACCCUUUAAAGAAAGCGUAAUAGCUCACUAGUCGAGUCGGCCUGCGCGGAAGAUGUAACGGGGCUAAAACUAUGUGCCGAAGCUGCGGAUNNNNNNNNNNNNNNNNNNNNNNNUGCUGGAGGUAUCAGAAGUGCGAAUGCUGACGUGAGUAACGACAAAACGGGUGAAAAACCCGUUCGCCGAAAGACCAAGGGUUCCAGUCCAACGUUAAUCGGGGCUGGGUGAGUCGACCCCUAAGGCGAGGCCGAAAGGCGUAGUCGAUGGGAAAAUGGUUAAUAUUCCAUUACUUCUGUGUAAUGCGAUGAGAGGACGGAGAAGGCUAAAUCAGCCUGGCGUUGGUUGUCCAGGUGAAAGGAUGUAGGCAUGUAUCUUAGGCAAAUCCGGGGUACUCUAUGCUGAGAUCUGAUAGCAAGCUGUACUUGUACAGCGAAGUGGUUGAUGCCAUGCUUCCAGGAAAAGUCUCUAAGCUUCAGUUACACAGGAAUCGUACCCGAAACCGACACAGGUGGUCAGGUCGAGUAGACCAAGGCGCUUGAGAGAACUCUGCUGAAGGAACUAGGCAAAAUGGUACCGUAACUUCGGGAGAAGGUACGCUGUUGUUGGUGAUGGAACUCGCUUCCUGAGCUGACGACAGCCGCAGAAACCAGGCCGCUGCAACUGUUUAUUAAAAACAUAGCACUCUGCAAACACGAAAGUGGACGUAUAGGGUGUGAUGCCUGCCCGGUGCUGGAAGGUUAAUUGAUGGGGUUAGCGUAAGCGAAGCUCUUGAUCGAAGCCCCAGUAAACGGCGGCCGUAACUAUAACGGUCCUAAGGUAGCGAAAUUCCUUGUCGGGUAAGUUCCGACCUGCACGAAUGGCAUAAUGAUGGCGGCGCUGUCUCCAGCAGAGGCUCAGUGAAAUCGAAAUCGCUGUGAAGAUGCAGUGUACCCGCGGCUAGACGGAAAGACCCCGUGAACCUUUACUGCAGCUUGACACUGAACUUUGACCUUACUUGUGUAGGAUAGGUGGGAGGCUUUGAAGCUGGAACGCUAGUUCCAGUGGAGCCGUCCUUGAAAUACCACCCUGGUAAUGUUGAGGUUCUAACUCUGUCCCGUGAUCCGGGACGAGGACCGUGUCUGGUGGGUAGUUUGACUGGGGCGGUCUCCUCCUAAAGAGUAACGGAGGAGUACGAAGGUGCGCUCAGCGUGGUCGGAAAUCACGCGUAGAGUAUAAAGGCAAAAGCGCGCUUAACUGCGAGACCCACAAGUCGAGCAGGUACGAAAGUAGGUCUUAGUGAUCCGGUGGUUCUGUAUGGAAGGGCCAUCGCUCAACGGAUAAAAGGUACUCUGGGGAUAACAGGCUGAUACCGCCCAAGAGUUCAUAUCGACGGCGGUGUUUGGCACCUCGAUGUCGGCUCAUCUCAUCCUGGGGCUGAAGCAGGUCCCAAGGGUAUGGCUGUUCGCCAUUUAAAGAGGUACGCGAGCUGGGUUUAGAACGUCGUGAGACAGUUCGGUCCCUAUCUACCGUGGGCGCUGGAAAUUUGAGAGGAUCUGCUCCUAGUACGAGAGGACCAGAGUGGACGAACCUCUGGUGUACCGGUUGUGACGCCAGUCGCAUCGCCGGGUAGCUAUGUUCGGAAGGGAUAACCGCUGAAAGCAUCUAAGCGGGAAGCCUACCUCAAGAUAAGAUUUCCCUAGGACUUUAUGUCCUCUAAAGAGCCGUUCGAGACUAGGACGUUGAUAGGUUGGAUGUGGAAGCAUAGUGAUAUGUGAAGCUGACCAAUACUAAUUGCUCGUGAGGCUUGACUAUACAACACCCAAGCAGUUG
This 2879-nucleotide ribosomal RNA is filed under the name Acinetobacter baumannii. RNAcentral's name for it is "23S ribosomal RNA". It matches the Rfam family "Bacterial large subunit ribosomal RNA". Lineage: Bacteria; Pseudomonadati; Pseudomonadota; Gammaproteobacteria; Moraxellales; Moraxellaceae. The record is from RNAcentral.